UUUGAUCCUGGCUCAGGAUGAACGCUGGCGGCGUGCCUAAUACAUGCAAGUCGAGCGAACGGACGAGAAGCUUGCUUCUCUGAUGUUAGCGGCGGACGGGUGAGUAACACGUGGAUAACCUACCUAUAAGACUGGGAUAACUUCGGGAAACCGGAGCUAAUACCGGAUAAUAUUUUGAACCGCAUGGUUCAAAAGUGAAAGACGGUCUUGCUGUCACUUAUAGAUGGAUCCGCGCUGCAUUAGCUAGUUGGUAAGGUAACGGCUUACCAAGGCAACGAUGCAUAGCCGACCUGAGAGGGUGAUCGGCCACACUGGAACUGAGACACGGUCCAGACUCCUACGGGAGGCAGCAGUAGGGAAUCUUCCGCAAUGGGCGAAAGCCUGACGGAGCAACGCCGCGUGAGUGAUGAAGGUCUUCGGAUCGUAAAACUCUGUUAUUAGGGAAGAACAUAUGUGUAAGUAACUGUGCACAUCUUGACGGUACCUAAUCAGAAAGCCACGGCUAACUACGUGCCAGCAGCCGCGGUAAUACGUAGGUGGCAAGCGUUAUCCGGAAUUAUUGGGCGUAAAGCGCGCGUAGGCGGUUUUUUAAGUCUGAUGUGAAAGCCCACGGCUCAACCGUGGAGGGUCAUUGGAAACUGGAAAACUUGAGUGCAGAAGAGGAAAGUGGAAUUCCAUGUGUAGCGGUGAAAUGCGCAGAGAUAUGGAGGAACACCAGUGGCGAAGGCGACUUUCUGGUCUGUAACUGACGCUGAUGUGCGAAAGCGUGGGGAUCAAACAGGAUUAGAUACCCUGGUAGUCCACGCCGUAAACGAUGAGUGCUAAGUGUUAGGGGGUUUCCGCCCCUUAGUGCUGCAGCUAACGCAUUAAGCACUCCGCCUGGGGAGUACGACCGCAAGGUUGAAACUCAAAGGAAUUGACGGGGACCCGCACAAGCGGUGGAGCAUGUGGUUUAAUUCGAAGCAACGCGAAGAACCUUACCAAAUCUUGACAUCCUUUGACAACUCUAGAGAUAGAGCCUUCCCCUUCGGGGGACAAAGUGACAGGUGGUGCAUGGUUGUCGUCAGCUCGUGUCGUGAGAUGUUGGGUUAAGUCCCGCAACGAGCGCAACCCUUAAGCUUAGUUGCCAUCAUUAAGUUGGGCACUCUAAGUUGACUGCCGGUGACAAACCGGAGGAAGGUGGGGAUGACGUCAAAUCCCAUCAUGCCCCUUAUGAUUUGGGCUACACACGUGCUACAAUGGACAAUACAAAGGGCAGCGAAACCGCGAGGUCAAGCAAAUCCCAUAAAGUUGUUCUCAGUUCGGAUUGUAGUCUGCAACUCGACUACAUGAAGC
RNAcentral lists this ribosomal RNA (1335 nucleotides) under uncultured Staphylococcus sp. Its description in RNAcentral is "bacterial SSU rRNA". It matches the Rfam family "Bacterial small subunit ribosomal RNA", at positions 12 to 1326 of the family's 1533-position model. Lineage: Bacteria; Bacillati; Bacillota; Bacilli; Caryophanales; Staphylococcaceae. The record is from RNAcentral.